Long non-coding RNA from Ailuropoda melanoleuca (giant panda), 415 nucleotides. RefSeq lists it as uncharacterized. NCBI's taxonomy places the organism in Eukaryota, Metazoa, Chordata, Mammalia, Carnivora, Ursidae. The transcript has 4 exons. The record is from RefSeq and is a predicted model, not a curated record.
GACCUCUCCUCCGAUCUUUCUCCAGCCGACGGUAGAACUGACAGGGGCUUUGGAGACAAUCUCCCACUUCCCUGCUGAGAUCGAAGGCCCAGAAGUGUGCACUGAAUCACCCCGAGGCACCGGGCAGUUACAGAAGCCUGGGCCAGUGCUGUCCAGAUAAAUAUGUUUUCCUGACUUCUUUGAAUCUAUAUCUGGUGGAUGAGAUGUAGUGAAAAUGUUUUGUGAGAAUUCCAGUAAAGCUGCAUAAAAUGCGGGCGGAGUCCCCUUCAUAACCUCCCUGUGAAAUGGUCAUCCAGCCGCUGGAAAAGCACUCUGGAACCUACUCACCGAACGAAAUUGAACAAGUGGGAGUCGUGACUCACCGCCUUCCAAGCACACGAUUCAGUUCACGGAUCUAGAAAACGGUAGCUAGGUA